ACGGGAGAGGAAUAGGAGAAGGAGAAGUAAAGAGGGGAGAGAGUAAUAAUCUCCUCAUCCUUCACCACCAUUUGUUGUGCUAUUUCAACACCCAUCCAAAAAAGGGAUAAAAUGGAAAAAUAAAAUCUAAAGAUCCCUUUUCUAUCGGUUACAUAAGGGUUUGUUUUUUGCCUUUCCCUCCCCCCUCUUUCGAUAGAUGUUGACUCGGUGAGCCGACUCAUACCGUAACUCGACUUGACUCGACUCUCUCAUAUCUCUUUCUUUCUCGUUUGUUGUUUCCUUCUUUCUCUCCUCUGCUGCGUUUAUUUUGGGGUUUUUAGA
Molecule: long non-coding RNA, 321 nt
Filed under: Brassica napus (rape)
Lineage: Eukaryota; Viridiplantae; Streptophyta; Magnoliopsida; Brassicales; Brassicaceae
Description: long non-coding RNA (BNAP_LNC027104)
Source: RNAcentral